Molecule: ribosomal RNA, 235 nt
Filed under: uncultured Sphingobacteriales bacterium
Lineage: Bacteria; Pseudomonadati; Bacteroidota; Sphingobacteriia; Sphingobacteriales
Description: partial 16S ribosomal RNA
Rfam family: Bacterial small subunit ribosomal RNA
Source: RNAcentral
GACGCCUACGCAAGUAGUGAGGAAGGCGGGGAUGACGUCAAAUCAGCACGGCCCUUACGUCCAGGGCUACACACGUGCUACAAUGGCCGAUACAGAGGGCAGCUACCUGGUGACAGGAUGCAAAUCUCCAAAGUCGGUCUCAGUUCGGAUCGGAGUCUGCAACCCGACUCCGUGAAGUUGGAUUCGCUAGUAAUCGCGCAUCAGCCAUGGCGCGGUGAAUACGUUCCCGGGCCUU